UCCCCUCCACUGGGUUAUUAUGGUAAAGAGUCAAGAAUUGCCCUUCUUGUGGCCCUGGAAGUGGGAAGAGAAGACCAGCCACUGUGAAACACUUCCAGAUUCUUCUCCUCCUCUGUCCGGCAGGGGAAGCCGUCACCAGUGAGCAAUACUGAAAUCUUACCCAAGGUAAGUUACAAAAUUAGGUUUGGAGAUCACAAAUAACUUAAACCAAUUAGUAACAUGAUGGAAGAAAAAUAUUAAGAGAGAGACAGACAGACACAGAGAGAGAGACCCAUUGAUCAGUUGCCUCCCGCAUGCACUCCAGUGAAGGAUUGAACUUGCAGCCUAGACAUUUCUGGUUCUCUUUCAAGGCCAAAAGUAGAACUGACUUUCCUGUUUGCGUAUAAUUUCGGGCAAACCUAAGGAAGCAAAUGUGAUUUGUGCCACUUCUUUGGAAGGGGCUUUAGAACCAGCGCACGAGUUUGUGAUGCUGUCUUCCCUGGUCCUAGAUGCAGCCUCUUCUUUCCUGGGCCCUGUUGUAAGUAUAGAAAGUACAACUUCCUGACAACUUGUUUUGAGAACAUAUAAUUAGUAGGAAAUAAAUUUUGGUUGUAUUUAGCCACAGAAAUUCAGGGGCUAUUUUUUUUUCUCCCCAAGGUGUGAACUAUAGACUAAUCUUUCUAGGAAGCAUGUAUAAAACUUAUUUUCUUGGUUUCGUUUUGGAAAACAUCGACAUAAAAUUUGUAGUUUCCUUUUCGGUGCUAUUGUUCUGAGCUUUGGCUAUAGAAUGGGCAUAAGGGAUAAGGAAGAAAUGAAAGGACAGGGAGUUGGAGUAGGAUGAGAAAAGACAGAGACACCAGGGAAAAUAUGCCAGUACAUUUUUUAACAACUUCAGUAGAGUUAGUAAGAACUUAUGUCAUCUCCUGUGACCACAAUGACUGAGAAAGCCUGAUGCAAUAUUCAACCAUCAGCUCUCACUUCCUCUUAUCCCUGAAUACUUUCUUCUUACAUGACUGUUGCCACUGUGGAUGUUUUUGAACAUUAAAAAAAAUCCUGCCAUCCUUAUGACCGUGAGGAAUUAAAUUCAGAUACACCUUACUUGGUAACAUUAUUUCAGUCCUCCAAACCACAGUAAGUGUUUAUAAGGUUACUAACCAUGUAGAAUGCAAUGUCUUCUCAGGAGGAAUUACCCAUGUUUCUUUUGGAUGUUUAUACCAGUUUACAUUUUUCUGCAGAGAGAAAGGGAGAGAAUUUGCUAGGUUAUAACAAAUAUUAAAACAAUGCUCAAUGGGAAAAUAAAAGUCAAGUUGAAAAGAGACCUUUGCUGAAGCUGAAUUCAGCAUAGACUUGAUGGGCUUGAGGAACAGGGACCUAGCAGUCAACUAAGCCAAGGAUUAUACAGAAUUUUACAUAUGGUAAUUGCCUUGGAACAGCAGGACUCUACUAGUAUCCUUUGUCUCCUCCUCCUUCCACUGAUGUUUCUCGGUCCUGCCACUGCUAAAGGCCACUGAUAAAGGCCACAGCAAUGUCCUGGCAUAGCCCUUCCGUCUCCCGAAUUAAAGUGCUGCCACUUGUCCGCAAUGUGUCCAGUAAGUACAUUUAGUUUCCAGUUCUUCCCUUCAAGAUAUUGUUUUUAGUUUUCUAACUCACAGAGUAAUGCUAAGUUAUUGGUCAAAAUAAAUAGUAAGCAAUGUUAUUUUUAACCUGAAAGGCAGUAACUGUAAAGGUUAGAGAGCAACCUCAUUUAACCAUAUUAAAACUGUAUCUGAAUACCAGCCUUACUACUUAAAAGAAUCUGCACUUUGAACAAGGACUUAAACUUUUUAAGUUUUAGUUGAAUUAUCAUUUUUAGA
Molecule: long non-coding RNA, 1832 nt
Organism: Artibeus jamaicensis (Jamaican fruit-eating bat)
Lineage: Eukaryota; Metazoa; Chordata; Mammalia; Chiroptera; Phyllostomidae
Exons: 4
Source: RefSeq, a predicted model, not a curated record